UACGUAGGGGGCGAGCGUUGUCCGGAAUUACUGGGCGUAAAGCGCGUGUAGGCUGCCCCGCAAGUCGGAUGUGAAAGCCCUGGGCUCAACCUAGGAAAUGCAUUCGAAACUGCGGGGCUGGAGUCCUGGAGAGGAAGGCGGAAUUCUCGGUGUAGAGGUGAAAUUCGUAGAUAUCGAGAGGAACACCGGUGGCGAAGGCGGCCUUCUGGACAGUGACUGACGCUGAGACGCGAAAGCGUGGGGAGCAAACAGG
This 253-nucleotide ribosomal RNA is filed under the name uncultured bacterium. RNAcentral describes it as "partial 16S ribosomal RNA". It matches the Rfam family "Bacterial small subunit ribosomal RNA", at positions 524 to 776 of the family's 1533-position model. The record is from RNAcentral.